AUUAAUAUUGAANUUAACUUCUAUGUGAAAAGGCAUAGUUAACUUAGGGGGACGAUAAGACCCUAUAAAACUUUACAUUAGUAAGUUUAUUUUUUCAGUANUUAAUAAUUAAGAAAUUAACUUAAAGUGUUAUGCUGGGGAGGCAAUAAUAUAAUUGUGAAGUAACUGUUANGAAAAAAGAAUAUAGAUGAAUAGAGANUAGAACCUUUAGUAUAAGGGUUAUUAGAUUAAGUUACUUUAGGGAUAACAGCGUGAUUUUCUUUGAGAGUCCAUAUCGACAAGAUGAGUUGCGACCUCGAUGUUGAAUUAAGGUUAACUUUUAGGGGCAGAAGUCUAGAGUUGUAGGUCUGUUCGACCUUUAAUACCUUACAUGAUUUGAGUUCAGA
RNAcentral lists this ribosomal RNA (386 nucleotides) under Athanopsis saurus. RNAcentral's name for it is "partial large subunit ribosomal RNA". It matches the Rfam family "Bacterial large subunit ribosomal RNA", at positions 2048 to 2615 of the family's 2925-position model. Lineage: Eukaryota; Metazoa; Arthropoda; Malacostraca; Decapoda; Alpheidae. The record is from RNAcentral.